AUUGAACGCUGGCGGCAGGCUUAACACAUGCAAGUCGAGCGGGGUGAUGGUGCUUGCACUAUCACUUAGCGGCGGACGGGUGAGUAAUGCUUAGGAAUCUGCCUAUUAGUGGGGGACAACAUCUCGAAAGGGAUGCUAAUACCGCAUACGUCCUACGGGAGAAAGCAGGGGAUCACUUGUGACCUUGCGCUAAUAGAUGAGCCUAAGUCGGAUUAGCUAGUUGGUGGGGUAAAGGCCUACCAAGGCGACGACCUGUAGCGGGUCUGAGCGGAUGAUCCGCCACACUGGGACUUAGACACGGCCCAGACUCCUACGGGAAGCAGCAGUGGGGAAUAUUGGACAAUGGGGGGAACCCUGAAGCAGCCAUGCCGCGUGUGUGAAGAAGGCCUUAUGGUUGUAAAGCACUAUAAGCGAGGAGGAGGCUCUUUUAGUUAAUACCCAGAAUGAGUGGACGUUACUCGCAGAAUAAGCACCGGCUAACUCUGUGCCAGCCGCCGCAGUAA
RNAcentral lists this ribosomal RNA (503 nucleotides) under uncultured bacterium. Its description in RNAcentral is "partial 16S ribosomal RNA". It matches the Rfam family "Bacterial small subunit ribosomal RNA", at positions 30 to 523 of the family's 1533-position model. The record is from RNAcentral.